GAUGAACGCUGGCUACAGGCUUAACACAUGCAAGUCGAGGGGAAACGCCGGGGAAGCUUGCUUCCCCGGGCGUCGACCGGCGCACGGGUGAGUAACGCGUAUCCAACCUGCCUCUGACUGAGGGAUAACCCGUCGAAAGUCGGCCUAAUACCUCAUGGCAUCGUCUGCGGGCAUCCAACGACGAUUAAAGAUUUCAUCGGUCAGGGAUGGGGAUGCGUCUGAUUAGCUUGUUGGCGGGGUAACGGCCCACCAAGGCUACGAUCAGUAGGGGUUCUGAGAGGAAGGUCCCCCACAUUGGAACUGAGACACGGUCCAAACUCCUACGGGAGGCAGCAGUGAGGAAUAGUGGGCAAUGGGCGGGAGCCUGAACCAGCCAAGUAGCGUGCAGGAGGACGGCCCUAUGGGUUGUAAACUGCUUUUAUGCGGGGAUAAAGUGAGGGACGUGUCCUUCAUUGCAGGUACCGCAUGAAUAAGGACCGGCUAAUUCCGUG
Molecule: ribosomal RNA, 491 nt
Filed under: uncultured bacterium
Lineage: Bacteria
Description: partial 16S ribosomal RNA
Rfam family: Bacterial small subunit ribosomal RNA
Source: RNAcentral